AUUGAACGCUGGCGGCAGGCCUAACGCAUGCAAGUCGAGCUGAUGAAGUGAUCUUUCUCCUUUAUUCAUCUGCGUACUGGUGAUUAAUUCCUAGUAAUCUGCCUGGUAUUGUUUGAUAACGUCCUUAAACUUUCUCUAAUACCUCAUACGUCCUGAGUUAUAAAUUUUUUGUUCUUCUUACCUCACGCUAUCAUAUUAUCCUAGGUCGUAUUAGCUAUUUGGUUUGGUAAAGUCCUACCAAGGCGACGAUCCGUAACUUGUCUGAGAGGAUGAUCAGUCACACUGGAAAUGAGACACGGUCCAGACUCAUACGGGAGGGAGCAGUGGGGAAUAUUGGACAAUGGGCGAAAGCAUGAUCCAGAAAUGACGCGUGUGUGAAGAAGGUAUUAGGAUUGUAAAGCACUUUAAGUUGGGAGGAAGGGAAGUAAGUUAAUAACUUGCUGUUUUGACGUUAACAACAGAAUAAGCAACGGCUAACUUCGUG
This 484-nucleotide ribosomal RNA is filed under the name uncultured bacterium. RNAcentral's name for it is "partial 16S ribosomal RNA". It matches the Rfam family "Bacterial small subunit ribosomal RNA", at positions 30 to 507 of the family's 1533-position model. The record is from RNAcentral.